CGUGAUAAAAAGCGCGUGAUAUCAUUAUUGAUAGAAGGCAUCAUCAGCAUUCGUUGCAUAUCUUCGUACGUGUGAUUAUCAGGCAAUUCUCGCGCGAUAAACAAUUCAUUAUCGCGACAUUCGAAAAAUCAAGUCGGCCUUUCUUGAUUCUGUUAAUUCGCAUCUUUUCGUUUUGAUAACAUGAAAAUUGAUAACAAGAGCUAAUUAUGAAUCGUACAUUUACAUGCUACACAUUGUACAUAUCGGUGUACGAUAAAUCAAAAUUGGAAUAUCAAUUGAGCGCGCGUCAAUAGAAUUUCAAGAGGUACUAGGUUCAAAGAUCUUUCACGAGAUCUCCGCCCGACACAAAUACCAAGGUUUUUGUUACAAAGUCGACCAUCAUUUUUUGCUACUGCUCGUAGUCUUCUUACUGUACGUGCGUGCCUGAUCCGUUUUACAGAAGCCGUUCGCAGCAUCUACACGAGACUGUGUACACGAGACUGGCCACUUAACACAUUCGGGAACUCCUCUUUGCUCUACGCAACGUGAAGUGGUAGUAACAGCGCUCUUAUCUUUCGUUAACACUGAAACGACUCUAGUUUAACUCGUGCAAUUACGAGAUUUCAGAGAGGAAGCGUAAUUCUUACGUCGGAUGCAUUUAUCAAGACCGAUUAAAUGCUAACGGAAAUUGGUUCAUUCAUUAGAGUAAAGUUAAUAUUUCUACGCAUGAAUCGUGCAGCGCUCGAAAACCAGGUCAAUGACUUGUAAUAGUCGUGUUUCGCGACAGGAGUAUGGAGAACAAUAGCAGCUGUCGAUUCGCGGAAUAACUAUGUGGACCGUAUCCUGUCUUUAGCAAUUUUUGUUUUCUGUAUAAAAUAUAGAAUAAAAUAUAUUUUUAUAAGAUUUUAUAAAUUUUAUAAAAACUUUUUAUAGAAGACAAGAUAUUUGUGAACAACAUUUAUGUAAAUGAGAAAAUAAUUUUACAUAUUUAGACAUAAAAUUUAAUAAAGAAAUUGAAAAGC
Long non-coding RNA from Ooceraea biroi (clonal raider ant), 1001 nucleotides. RefSeq lists it as uncharacterized. Lineage: Eukaryota; Metazoa; Arthropoda; Insecta; Hymenoptera; Formicidae. The record is from RefSeq and is a predicted model, not a curated record.